GUUGUUGAAGUAGCUGGAAUAAGUAGUGUAGCGGUGAAAUGCAUAGAUAUUACUUAGAACACCAAUUGCGAAGGCAGGUUACUAAGCAACAACUGACGCUGAUGGACGAAAGCGUGGGGAGCGAACAGGAUUAGAUACCCUGGUAGUCCACGCCGUAAACGAUGCUAACUCGUUUUUGGGGCCUUGAGCUUCAGAGACUAAGCGAAAGUGAUAAGUUAGCCACCUGGGGAGUACGUUCGCAAGAAUGAAACUCAAAGGAAUUGACGGGGGCCCGCACAAGCGGUGGAUUAUGUGGUUUAAUUCGAUGAUACGCGAGGAACCUUACCAAGGCUUAAAUGGGAAUUGACAGGUUUAGAAAUAGACUUUUCUUCGGACAAUUUUCAAGGUGCUGCAUGGUUGUCGUCAGCUCGUGCCGUGAGGUGUUAGGUUAAGUCCUGCAACGAGCGCAACCCCUGUCACUAGUUGCCAUCAUUCAGUUGGGGACUCUAGUGAGACUGCCUUCGCAAGUAGAGAGGAAGGUGGGGAAGACGUCAAAUCAUCACGGCCCUUACGCCUUGGGCCACACACGUAAUACAAUGGCCAGUACAGAGGGCAGGUACACAGCGAUGUGAUGCAAAUCUCGAAAGCUGGUCUCAGUUCGGAUUGGAGUCUGCAACUCGACUCUAUGAAGCUGGAAUCGCUAGUAAUCGCGCAUCAGCCAUGGCGCGGUGAAUACGUUCCCGGGCCUUGUACACACCGCCCGUCAAGCCAUGGAAGUCUGGGGUACCUGAAGUCGGUG
RNAcentral lists this ribosomal RNA (778 nucleotides) under Chryseobacterium sp. cdr3. Its description in RNAcentral is "bacterial SSU rRNA". It matches the Rfam family "Bacterial small subunit ribosomal RNA", at positions 648 to 1432 of the family's 1533-position model. Lineage: Bacteria; Pseudomonadati; Bacteroidota; Flavobacteriia; Flavobacteriales; Weeksellaceae. The record is from RNAcentral.